GAGUUUGAUCCUGGCUCAGAUUGAACGCUGGCGGAAUGCUUUACACAUGCAAGUCGAACGGCAGCACGGGAGCUUGCUCCUGGUGGCGAGUGGCGAACGGGUGAGUAACAUAUCGGAACAUAUCCUAUCGUGGGGGAUAACUAGUCGAAAGACUAGCUAAUACCGCAUACGUCCUGAGGGAGAAAGCGGGGGCUCGCAAGACCUCGCGCGAUUGGAGUGGCCGAUAUCUGAUUAGCUAGAUGGUGAGGUAAAAGCUCACCAUGGCGACGAUCAGUAGCUGGUCUGAGAGGAUGAUCAGCCACACUGGGACUGAGACACGGCCCAGACUCCUACGGGAGGCAGCAGUGGGGAAUUUUGGACAAUGGGCGAAAGCCUGAUCCAGCCAUUCCGCGUGAGUGAAGAAGGCCUUCGGG
This 413-nucleotide ribosomal RNA is filed under the name uncultured bacterium. RNAcentral's name for it is "bacterial SSU rRNA". It matches the Rfam family "Bacterial small subunit ribosomal RNA", at positions 9 to 422 of the family's 1533-position model. The record is from RNAcentral.